AUCAGGGUUGACAGUUUAACCCUGAGUCAUCCUAAACACAGGGGUCAAAAGGAUGAAUUAUACAGUAACCAUAUUCAUGUAGGUUCUGAGUGUUGUGAUUGCGACUAUUCGAUCUAUCCGAAUAUUGGGUACCAUUGCUAGAUGGUCACUUCGAUUAGUACAGAAAUUGGUUUCUGUGCUAUCGGCUUAGGUUCGAACCUAUGGGGUCACACACAUUAGAGGUUCCUAUCUGAUCUGAUGACUGGUGUAGAAUCCUACAUGUUUGGGACUCAGUGAUCAAGAAUCAGAAUUCUCUGAUCACGAGUUCCACACAUUAUGGGUAUCGGGGUCAAGAGUCCCACUGGUUGGGACUUUUCGAUCAGGGUUACAUAUCGAUGAAUUCUGAU
This 386-nucleotide long non-coding RNA is filed under the name Elaeis guineensis (African oil palm). RNAcentral's name for it is "long non-coding RNA (EGUI_LNC058911)". Lineage: Eukaryota; Viridiplantae; Streptophyta; Magnoliopsida; Arecales; Arecaceae. The record is from RNAcentral.